RNAcentral lists this ribosomal RNA (703 nucleotides) under marine sediment metagenome. Its description in RNAcentral is "LSU rRNA". It matches the Rfam family "Bacterial large subunit ribosomal RNA", at positions 314 to 1014 of the family's 2925-position model. The record is from RNAcentral.
GUUACAAACUGAACCCUAGUCGAAGGUUCCUGGAAAGGACAACCAUAGAGGGUGACGGUCCCGUAGAUGAAAGGGGGAAGCUCCUUACCUGUACUUGAGUACCACGGGACACGAGGAAUCUUGUGGGAAUCUGCCCUGACCACAGGGCAAGGCUAAAUACCCUUGAUGACCGAUAGUGAACUAGUACCGUGAGGGAAAGGUGAAAAGUACCCCGGGAGGGGAGUGAAAUAGACCUGAAACCGUGUGCUUACAAGCAGUCAGAGCCUCAAGUAAUUGGGGUGAUGGCGUGCCUAUUGAAGAAUGAGCCGACGAGUUAAUCUAUGUAGCUGGUUAAGCAACUAUCGUUGCGCAGCCGAAGCGAAAGCAAGUCCUAAUAAGGCGAUUUAGUUGCAUAGAUUAGACCCGAAGCCGGGUGAGCUAUCCAUGGCCAGGGUGAAGCCUCGAUAAAAUCGAAGUGGAGGCCCGAACCGGUCAGCGUUGCAAAGCUGUCGGAUGAGCUGUGGAUAGAGGUGAAAUGCCAAUCGAACCCGGGGAUAGCUGGUUCUCCCCGAAAUGCAUUUAGGUGCAGCCUCAGGUGUUAGCUAAUGGAGGUAGGGCACUGGAUGGACUAGGUGAGAUAGUAUCUUGUCAACUCCAACCAAACCACGAAUGCCAUUAGCCAGAAUCUGGGAGUGAGACUAUGGGGGAUAAGCUCCGUAGUCGA